Molecule: long non-coding RNA, 790 nt
Filed under: Panax ginseng (ginseng)
Lineage: Eukaryota; Viridiplantae; Streptophyta; Magnoliopsida; Apiales; Araliaceae
Description: long non-coding RNA (PGIN_LNC012291)
Source: RNAcentral
CAACUGCAAUUUGUCCCGCCAGAUUCCACCAGCACAAGAAAAUAGUCAUUCAGUUACUCCAUAUAUAAGAAACUUGUCAUACUGAUCCACAGAAAUUGCACUAAACAAAUCAAAUGCUGAUACUUCUCUCGGACCGAGACAGAGAGAUAGAAAGAGUAGAUUCUUCAGUCAUUAAUAAAGUGGCAAUUUUUUCAACGGCUCCUUUUGCUUGCACCACUAUAAAUAUGUGUAUUAUAUACUCCUUUAGUCUGUGCAUCAUUCCCCACAUAUAUAUAUAUAUACUAGCUGUCUCCCGUGCCUCCAGCACUACAUGAACGGUGGGAUUUAUCCCAAACUUUGGACGGCCCAAAUGAUUUAUUAAGGUGAGCGGGAAAUUCAAAAUCAGUUGUAUUUUGUUAUAUAUAUACAUACAUAUAUAUAUAUAUAUAUAUAUAUAUAUAUAUAUAUAUAUAUAUAUAUAUAUAUAUACUCCCUCAUGUCAAAAAUUAGAUAUACAUUUCUAUUUUUAGACCAUGAAAUUCUUAUUAUGCCAUUACUACUACAUUUCUAUCUACUGAUAGAAAUAAGUUUGGAAAAAAAAUUGAAACAGUGUGUGUGUGUGUGUGUAUAUCAAUAUAUGUAUGAUCUUGCUGAUCUAGCAACCAUGGCUAUACAGUUUUGAGAGAGGCAAAGACCUUUAAUUACAAUGGUAAAGAGAAGAAAGAAACCGUUGGAAUCAUUCAUACAGUUAUGACUUAUAAGACUAUGAAGAGACAGAAAGAGGGGGCAGUGCUUAAACAGCUUAAGUUCU